UUGCCCAGACAACUAGGAUGUUGGCUUAGAAGCAGCCAUCAUUUAAAGAGUGCGUAAUAGCUCACUAGUCGAGUGACACUGCGCCGAAAAUGUACCGGGGCUAAACAUAUUACCGAAGCUGUGGAUUGUCCUUUGGACAAUGGUAGGAGAGCGUUCUAAGGGCGUUGAAGCAUGAUCGUAAGGACAUGUGGAGCGCUUAGAAGUGAGAAUGCCGGUGUGAGUAGCGAAAGACGGGUGAGAAUCCCGUCCACCGAUUGACUAAGGUUUCCAGAGGAAGGCUCGUCCGCUCUGGGUUAGUCGGGUCCUAAGCUGAGGCCGACAGGCGUAGGCGAUGGAUAACAGGUUGAUAUUCCUGUACCACCUAUAAUCGUUUUAAUCGAUGGGGGGGACGCAGUAGGAUAGGCGAAGCGUGCGAUUGGAUUGCACGUCUAAGCAGUAAGGCUGAGUAUUAGGCAAAUCCGGUACUCAUUAAGGCUGAGCUGUGAUGGGGAGAAGACAUUGUGUCUUCGAGUCGUUGAUUUCACACUGCCGAGAAAAGCCUCUAGAUAGAAAAUAGGUGCCCGUACCGCAAACCGACACAGGUAGUCAAGAUGAGAAUUCUAAGGUGAGCGAGCGAACUCUCGUUAAGGAACUCGGCAAAAUGACCCCGUAACUUCGGGAGAAGGGGUGCUCUUUAGGGUUAACGCCCAGAAGAGCCGCAGUGAAUAGGCCCAAGCGACUGUUUAUCAAAAACACAGGUCUCUGCUAAACCGUAAGGUGAUGUAUAGGGGCUGACGCCUGCCCGGUGCUGGAAGGUUAAGAGGAGUGGUUAGCUUCUGCGAAGCUACGAAUCGAAGCCCCAGUAAACGGCGGCCGUAACUAUAACGGUCCUAAGGUAGCGAAAUUCCUUGUCGGGUAAGUUCCGACCCGCACGAAAGGCGUAACGAUUUGGGCACUGUCUCAACGAGAGACUCGGUGAAAUCAUAGUACCUGUGAAGAUGCAGGUUACCCGCGACAGGACGGAAAGACCCCGUGGAGCUUUACUGUAGCCUGAUAUUGAAAUUCGGCACAGCUUGUACAGGAUAGGUAGGAGCCUUUGAAACGUGAGCGCUAGCUUACGUGGAGGCGCUGGUGGGAUACUACCCUAGCUGUGUUGGCUUUCUAACCCGCACCACUUAUCGUGGUGGGAGACAGUGUCAGGCGGGCAGUUUGACUGGGGCGGUCGCCUCCUAAAAGGUAACGGAGGCGCUCAAAGGUUCCCUCAGAAUGGUUGGAAAUCAUUCAUAGAGUGUAAAGGCAUAAGGGAGCUUGACUGCGAGACCUACAAGUCGAGCAGGGUCGAAAGACGGACUUAGUGAUCCGGUGGUUCCGUAUGGAAGGGCCAUCGCUCAACGGAUAAAAGCUACCCCGGGGAUAACAGGCUUAUCUCCCCCAAGAGUUCACAUCGACGGGGAGGUUUGGCACCUCGAUGUCGGCUCAUCGCAUCCUGGGGCUGUAGUCGGUCCCAAGGGUUGGGCUGUUCGCCCAUUAAAGCGGUACGCGAGCUGGGUUCAGAACGUCGUGAGACAGUUCGGUCCCUAUCCGUCGUGGGCGUAGGAAAUUUGAGAGGAGCUGUCCUUAGUACGAGAGGACCGGGAUGGACAUACCUCUGGUGUACCAGUUGUCGUGCCAACGGCAUAGCUGGGUAGCUAUGUGUGGACGGGAUAAGUGCUGAAAGCAUCUAAGCAUGAAGCCCCCCUCAAGAUGAGAUUUCCCAACUUCGGUUAUAAGAUCCCUCAAAGAUGAUGAGGUUAAUAGGUUCGAGGUGGAAGCAUGGUGACAUGUGGAGCUGACGAAUACUAAUCGAUCGAAGACUUAAUCAA
RNAcentral lists this ribosomal RNA (1841 nucleotides) under Staphylococcus aureus VET0363R. Its description in RNAcentral is "bacterial LSU rRNA". It matches the Rfam family "Bacterial large subunit ribosomal RNA", at positions 1081 to 2925 of the family's 2925-position model. The record is from RNAcentral. Lineage: Bacteria; Bacillati; Bacillota; Bacilli; Caryophanales; Staphylococcaceae.